RNAcentral lists this ribosomal RNA (1490 nucleotides) under Astrosyne radiata. RNAcentral's name for it is "small subunit ribosomal RNA". It matches the Rfam family "Bacterial small subunit ribosomal RNA". The record is from RNAcentral. Lineage: Eukaryota; Bacillariophyta; Fragilariophyceae; Cyclophorales; Cyclophoraceae.
AACUAAGUAAUUUAAGUUCUAGUGGCGAACGGGUGAGUAAUACAUAAGAAUUUGCCUUUAGGAAAAGGAUAACAGUUGGAAACGACUGCUAAUACUUUAUAAACUCAAAUAGAAAAAAGAGUUAAAAACUAUUCUAAGUUGAAAUUUUUUAAAUUUAGACUGUGCCUAAAGAAAAGCUUAUGGCUGAUUAGCUUGUUGGUAAGGUAAUAGCUUACCAAGGCGAAGAUCAGUAUCUGGUUUGAGAGGAUGAUCAGACACACUGGAACUGAGACACGGUCCAGACUCCUACGGGAGGCAGCAGUAGGGAAUUUUCCGCAAUGGGCGAAAGCCUGACGGAGCGAUACCGCGUGAGGGAUAUGGAGACCGUUUCCGCAGCCUCCGAAGGCCUACGGGUUGUAAACCUCUUUUCUCAUGGAAGAAAAAUGACAGUAAAUGAAGAAUAAGCAUCGGCUAACUCCGUGCCAGCAGCCGCGGUAAGACGGAGGAUGCAAGUGUUAUCCGGAAUCACUGGGCGUAAAGCGUCUGUAGGUGGUUUAUAUAAGUCAAUUGUUAAAGGUUAAUGCUCAACAUUAAAACUGCAGUUGAAACUAUUAAACUUGAGCAUGUUAGAGGUAACGGGAAUUUCCUGUGAAGCGGUGAAAUGCGUUGAUAUUGGAAAGAACACCGAUGGCGAAGGCACGUUACUGGGUCAUAGCUGACAUUGAGAGACGAAAGCUAAGGUAGCAAAUGGGAUUAGAUACCCCAGUAGUCUUAGCUGUAAACGAUGGAUACUAAAUGUUGAAGAAAUCCUUCAGUAUUGUAGUUAACGCGUUAAGUAUCCCGCCUGGGAAGUACGCUCGCAAGAGUAAAACUCAAAGGAAUUGACGGGGGCCUGCACAAGCGGUGGAGCAUGUGGUUUAAUUCGAUGCAACGCGAAGAACCUUACCAGAGUUAGACAUAUUUUCUAUCCUUCUAAUAUUAAUAAAAGAAGGACUCUUUAAAUAUAUUAAAUUAAAUUUUUAUCAUUCUACGUAAAAAAUAAAUGUAUUAUAAUAUAAUUCAUCAGUCACACAGGUGGUGCAUGGCUGUCGUCAGCUCGUGUCGUGAGAUGUUGGGUUAAGUCCCGCAACGAGCGAAACCCUUAUUAUUAGUUGCCUAUACGGAUAUCUGAGAAAACUGCCGAUUAGAAGUCGGAGGAAGGGGGGGAUGAGGUCAAGUCGGCAUGCUUCUUACGUUCUGGGCUACACACGUGCUACAAUGGGUGAGACAAAAAGUUGCAAUAUUGUAAAAUGGAGCUAAUCUGUAAAACUCAUUCAAAGUUCGGAUUGUAGACUGCAACUCGUCUACAUAAAGUUGGAAUCGCUAGUAAUCGCUGGUCAGCUACACAGCGGUGAAUACGUUCCCUGGCCUUGUACACACCGCCCGUCACACCAUGGAAAUUAGUUAUGCUCAAAGUCAUUCCUUUAACCAUUUAUGUUUAUUAGUUUAAAGUAAAUUGGAUCAAGAAUGCC